UCUCUAAUGGUGCUUAGCCUCAGCACAGCCC
Molecule: non-coding RNA, 31 nt
Filed under: Mus musculus (house mouse)
Lineage: Eukaryota; Metazoa; Chordata; Mammalia; Rodentia; Muridae
Source: RNAcentral